UUGCUCUGAGGGGAUCAGUGGCGAACGGGUGAGUAACACGUGAGUAACCUGCCCCGGACUCUGGAAUAAGCGCUGGAAACGGCGUCUAAUACCGGAUACGAGACGCAACCGCAUGGUUAGUGUCUGGAAAGUUUUUCGGUCUGGGAUGGACUCGCGGCCUAUCAGCUUGUUGGUGAGGUAAUGGCUCACCAAGGCGACGACGGGUAGCCGGCCUGAGAGGGCGACCGGCCACACUGGGACUGAGACACGGCCCAGACUCCUACGGGAGGCAGCAGUGGGGAAUAUUGCACAAUGGGCGAAAGCCUGAUGCAGCGACGCCGCGUGAGGGAUGACGGCCUUCGGGUUGUAAACCUCUUUCAGCAGGGAAGAAGCGAAAGUGACGGUACCUGCAGAAGAAGCACCGGCUAACUACGUGCCAGCAGCCGCGGUAAUACGUAGGGUGCGAGCGUUGUCCGGAAUUAUUGGGCGUAAAGAGCUUGUAGGCGGUUUGUCGCGUCUGCUGUGAAAAUCCGGGGCUCAACCCCGGACUUGCAGUGGGUACGGGCAGACUAGAGUGUGGUAGGGGAGACUGGAAUUCCUGGUGUAGCGGUGAAAUGCGCAGAUAUCAGGAGGAACACCGAUGGCGAAGGCAGGUCUCUGGGCCACUACUGACGCUGAGAAGCGAAAGCAUGGGGAGCGAACAGGAUUAGAUACCCUGGUA
Molecule: ribosomal RNA, 700 nt
Filed under: Janibacter sp.
Lineage: Bacteria; Bacillati; Actinomycetota; Actinomycetes; Micrococcales; Intrasporangiaceae
Description: bacterial SSU rRNA
Rfam family: Bacterial small subunit ribosomal RNA
Source: RNAcentral